GACGAACGCUGGCGGCGUGCUUAACACAUGCAAGUCGAACGGAAAGGCCCUGCUUUUGUGGGGUGCUCGAGUGGCGAACGGGUGAGUAACGCGUGAGUAACCUGCCCUUGACUUUGGGAUAACUUCAGGAAACUGGGGCUAAUACUGGAUAGGAGCUCCUGCUGCAUGGUGGGGGUUGGAAAGUUUCGGCGGUUGGGGAUGGACUCGCGGCUUAUCAGCUUGUUGGUGGGGUAGUGGCUUACCAAGGCUUUGACGGGUAGCCGGCCUGAGAGGGUGACCGGCCACAUUGGGACUGAGAUACGGCCCAGACUCCUACGGGAGGCAGCAGUGGGGAAUAUUGCACAAUGGGCGGAAGCCUGAUGCAGCAACGCCGCGUGCGGGAUGACGGCCUUCGGGUUGUAAACCGCUUUCGCCUGUGACGAAGCGUGAGUGACGGUAAUGGGUAAAGAAGCACCGGCUAACUACGUGCCAGCAGCCGCGGUGAUACGUAGGGUGCGAGCGUUGUCCGGAUUUAUUGGGCGUAAAGGGCUCGUAGGUGGUUGAUCGCGUCGGAAGUGUAAUCUUGGGGCUUAACCCUGAGCGUGCUUUCGAUACGGGUUGACUUGAGGAAGGUAGGGGAGAAUGGAAUUCCUGGUGGAGCGGUGGAAUGCGCAGAUAUCAGGAGGAACACCAGUGGCGAAGGCGGUUCUCUGGGCCUUUCCUGACGCUGAGGAGCGAAAGCGUGGGGAGCGAACAGGCUUAGAUACCCUGGUAGUCCACGCUGUAAACGGUGGGUACUAGGUGUGGGGUCCAUUCCACGGGUUCCGUGCCGUAGCUAACGCUUUAAGUACCCCGCCUGGGGAGUACGGCCGCAAGGCUAAAACUCAAAGGAAUUGACGGGGCCCCGCACAAGCGGCGGAGCAUGCGGAUUAAUUCGAUGCAACGCGUAGAACCUUACCUGGGUUUGACAUGGAUCGGGAGUGCUCAGAGAUGGGUGUGCCUCUUUUGGGGUCGGUUCACAGGUGGUGCAUGGCUGUCGUCAGCUCGUGUCGUGAGAUGUUGGGUUAAGUCCCGCAACGAGCGCAACCCUUGUUCAUUGUUGCCAGCACGUUAUGGUGGGGACUCAGUGGAGACCGCCGGGGUCAACUCGGAGGAAGGUGGGGAUGACGUCAAGUCAUCAUGCCCCUUAUGUCCAGGGCUUCACGCAUGCUACAAUGGCUGGUACAGAGAGUGGCGAGCCUGUGAGGGUGAGCGAAUCUCGGAAAGCCGGUCUCAGUUCGGAUUGGGGUCUGCAACUCGACCUCAUGAAGUCGGAGUCGCUAGUAAUCGCAGAUCAGCAACGCUGCGGUGGAUACGUUCCCGGG
RNAcentral lists this ribosomal RNA (1343 nucleotides) under uncultured bacterium. RNAcentral's name for it is "16S ribosomal RNA". It matches the Rfam family "Bacterial small subunit ribosomal RNA", at positions 28 to 1378 of the family's 1533-position model. The record is from RNAcentral.